RNAcentral lists this unclassified non-coding RNA (378 nucleotides) under Hevea brasiliensis (rubber tree). Lineage: Eukaryota; Viridiplantae; Streptophyta; Magnoliopsida; Malpighiales; Euphorbiaceae. The record is from RNAcentral.
AAAAAUUGUGAUAUCAGGAUAGGGUGAAAAAGCAAAAGAAACCGCAAAUAAGUAAAAGCAAAUGGGAGACUCAGAAGAGAAAUUUAUACAAUUGUGAUUGCAUGUUAAUUGGCAUUACAGGCAUCUUCAAGGAUUUUCUGCAAACAUCUCUAGGAAUUUCAACAAGUUGUAGUAACCGCUAAAUAUUCAUCACAAAUGUAGAGCUGUUUGUAAUUGAGAAAAAAAUGCCUAGGCAUUUCCACAAUAAAAUCUUGAAUUAUUGUCUUUUGUAUGGGAUAUUUUGAUCUUGUGGAUCUCUAAGGCCAUUUUGAACCCACUUAAUCAGGCCAGUGAUUUUACUUCUUUGUCUUUAAGGUUUACGCAGAGCAUCUCUUGGAA